UACGGAGGGGGCUAGCGUUGUUCGGAAUUACUAGGCGUAAAGCGCACGUAGGCGGCUUUGUAAGUUAGAGGUGAAAGCCCGGGGCUCAACUCCGGAACUGCCUUUAAGACUGCAUCGCUUGAAUCCAGGAGAGGUGAGUGGAAUUCCGAGUGUAGAGGUGAAAUUCGUAGAUAUUCGGAAGAACACCAGUGGCGAAGGCGGCUCACUGGACUGGUAUUGACGCUGAGGUGCGAAAGCGUGGGGAGCAAACAGG
Molecule: ribosomal RNA, 253 nt
Filed under: uncultured bacterium
Lineage: Bacteria
Description: partial 16S ribosomal RNA
Rfam family: Bacterial small subunit ribosomal RNA
Source: RNAcentral